GUGGGGAAUCUUGCACAAUGGGCGAAAGCCUGAUGCAGCCAUGCCGCGUGAAUGAUGAAGGCCUUAGGGUUGUAAAAUUCUUUCGUCAGGGAUGAUAAUGACCGUACCUGAAGAAGAAGCCCCGGCUAACUUCGUGCCAGCAGCCGCGGUAAUACGAAGGGGGCUAGCGUUGUUCGGAAUUACUGGGCGUAAAGCGCACGUAGGCGGACUUUUAAGUCAGGUGUGAAAUCCCGGGGCUCAACCUCGGAACUGCAUUUGAAACUGGAAGUCUUGAGAUCAGGAGAGGUUAGCGGAAUACCGAGUGUAGAGGUGAAAUUCGUAGAUAUUCGGUGGAACACCAGUGGCGAAGGCGGCUAACUGGACUGAUACUGACGCUGAGGUGCGAAAGUGUGGGGAGCAAACAGGAUUAGAAACCCUUGUAGUCC
Molecule: ribosomal RNA, 425 nt
Filed under: uncultured bacterium
Lineage: Bacteria
Description: partial 16S ribosomal RNA
Rfam family: Bacterial small subunit ribosomal RNA
Source: RNAcentral